UAUGAAAAUUUCCAUCUAUUUUUAUUAGUAAACACUGGUGUGAUUAACGGAAUAACUAGAUAAUUACAUGCAUCUUAUGUUGAUAUACAAGAAUGAAUUUUUAAUAGUAAAAGUGGAUGGAAUUUUUAACA
Gossypium raimondii (Peruvian cotton) is the source of this 131-nucleotide non-coding RNA. NCBI's taxonomy places the organism in Eukaryota, Viridiplantae, Streptophyta, Magnoliopsida, Malvales, Malvaceae. The record is from Rfam.